GCUGUAAAAAAAAACAAUCAUGAACAACUUUUCAAAUAUACAAGUUCAUUUGAUGUUUAAAGUGUCUAAAAUUUACUCUUUUCUUUAUCUGACAUGUACCUUUUCAUUAUUUGUAUUUACAUUCAACUACAAUUUUUUUAUCUAGAAAUGUUGUUGCAUGAAAGUUGAAUGGAGUUUUUGUCCCUUCAUCGAUCUGAAAACAAAGAAAAGAGACACAGGAAACAGAAUAUGGUGAUAGUUUGCAGCAAAGUCAAAUGAUGUUCAUGUCUCUUUAACAAACUACAAAGAAAGACAUUAUUAUGAAGAAAUAAACUGAUACCUUGAUUUUACUUUGCAGAGUUCUUAUUUUAUAUCUGGAAAAAAAUAUCUAUUAUGUCAAACAUGCUCUUUUAAUCUAUAGAUUAAUAUAUUUAACAAAGGUAAAAGAAAAACAUGUAUUGUUCUUUAAAUUAAGAAUAUGAUGAAGAAACAUAGAUCCAAAAACAUUUUCAAGAAUAAAAUCUUACACUUCUCUCAAUAAGAGCUUUUGUUCACUUUAUCCUCUUAUACGUUUUACUAAGCUUCAUAUAAUGUUCUUCCAUUUUAUUUUGCAGGAGAUCUACAAGUUGCUCAUUCUCCAGUCAAUAGUAGAAGUCGAUGUUCUGCAAAAUAAAAUCAAUUUUUUUUAAUUAUUUUGUUUACUAGGCAACAAAAUAAAUACCACUUGAAAUAUGGAUAAACAUACUUUUUCGAGAUAAAAAAUAUAAACAGAAUAAUAAAUAACAAAUUUUAAAAUGAAUUAUUUAUUUUUUUCAUAAAUGUAUUUUGAAAAAUGAGUUAAAAUCUGAUGUUUAACUAUGCAAUUGUAUUAACGAAGGAUGUUUUUGAAACUUAGAAAUAGCCUAAUUCAAACAUGUUAAAAAAGCCUCCUUUGUUUAAUUACCAAAUACUAUGUCAUGCAGCAUGUAUGAUACCUGUUUCAGUCGUGAAGAUGACCACCACCUUCUCCAUAACAAGUAUAUAAAUGUAGAGAGCAUCAAUAUCUUUCAUUCACAAACAAUUAGCUUAGAGUAACUUGUGAAACUAACCAACAAAAGCAAGCUUAGUUUAACAAUGACUCUACAAAGCAAGCAAAUGAUCCUAAUUUUUGGAAUGCUUAUGCUGAUUUCAUUAGCAACUGCCGAAGAGGUUGGCCUAAAAGCCAAUCUAGUACAAUGUCUUGGCAAAUGUGGGGAUGAUGUUCUUUCUUGUGUCACUGGCUGUUACAGUUGGAAAGUUGGGAAUUUCUUGGGUUGUGCCAUAAGUUGUGAAGGAGCUGAUGUACUGUGCAUGACCAGUUGUGCAAGUACCAUUAUGCCUCCAUCUGCUCGUCCGGUUCCACUGACAUAAUCUGCUCCCCGCUGCUUCUAUCAUGAUCGGCCUAUCUAUCCAUAUUUCUUUCUAAUAUUUUUAAGAAUAAUUUCAGUGAAAGUUGUUGAAUCAUAUUCAUGACAUUGAUGUAAGCAUCUGGUGGCUUGCUUGGCCAUUGUAAUUUGCCUUUAGGCAUUUAAUAAUUGUAUUAUGGCAAUAAAAAAAAAUAGUUAAUGUUGAUAUACUAUUA
Molecule: long non-coding RNA, 1579 nt
Organism: Medicago truncatula (barrel medic)
Lineage: Eukaryota; Viridiplantae; Streptophyta; Magnoliopsida; Fabales; Fabaceae
Exons: 2
Source: RefSeq, a predicted model, not a curated record